RNAcentral lists this unclassified non-coding RNA (448 nucleotides) under Hevea brasiliensis (rubber tree). Lineage: Eukaryota; Viridiplantae; Streptophyta; Magnoliopsida; Malpighiales; Euphorbiaceae. The record is from RNAcentral.
GACUUUCAAGUCUAAGAGUGUUAUUAAACAGGUUGAUUCUUUAAGGAAAGUGGCCAUGUUUGUGCAUUCUGCUCUUUCCUUUUUACUAGGAAUCGGAAAGUGUUGUGGCAUACAAUAUUAAGAAAUAUGUUAUAAUUUCUUCGUCCAACAUAUGAAGAAUUUUUUUACAAGUAACAUUUAAAAUGUAUACACCCGCUAAGCAGAUAACUGUUGGCUAGUAUGUUGUAUCCAGGCCAUGGAUUCCUUGUAUUAAUUCAUUUAGCUUCUCCAUACGAAAAUUAAAGUGUUAAUAUAUAAACCACACUAUUUAUUGUUAGAGGAAUGUUUUCCUACGGUUACUAUGAUUGAAAGAUUCAGGAAGGCAGGGCAUAGUUAUAUAUGAAAAAGCCACAAUUGUAAGGCAUACUUUUGUUUUGGACAGAUUUUGAAGGACUCAAAAGUCAAACUA